UCGAGAAUCUUCGGCAAUGGGCGAAAGCCUGACCGAGCGACGCCGCGUGUGGGAUGAAGGCCUUCGGGUUGUAAACCGCUGUCAGUUGGGAGGAAGGGCCGAUGAAGAAUCGGCUUUGACCUAUCUUCAGAGGAAGUCCGGGCUAAGUUCGUGCCAGCAGCCGCGGUAAUACGAACCGGACGAACGUUAUUCGGAAUCAUUGGGCUUAAAGGGUGCGUAGGCGGCGCUGUAAGUCGGGUGUGAAAGCCCACGGCUCAACCGUGGAACUGCGCCCGAUACUGCAGUGCUUGAGGGAGACAGAGGUAAGCGGAACUGAUGGUGGAGCGGUGAAAUGCGUUGAUAUCAUCAGGAACACCAGUGGCGAAAGCGGCUUACUGGGUCUCUUCUGACGCUGAGGCACGAAAGCUAGGGUAGCGAACGGGAUUAGAUACCCCCGUAGUCC
Molecule: ribosomal RNA, 442 nt
Filed under: uncultured prokaryote
Description: bacterial SSU rRNA
Rfam family: Bacterial small subunit ribosomal RNA
Source: RNAcentral